UACGUAGGGACCAAGCGUUGUUCGGAUUUACUGGGCGUAAAGCGCACGUAGGCGGCUCUUUAAGUCGGGGGUGAAAUCCUGGAGCUCAACUCCAGAACUGCCUUCGAUACUGUAGAGCUUGAGUUCGGGAGAGGUGAGUGGAACUGCGAGUGUAGAGGUGAAAUUCGUAGAUAUUCGCAAGAACACCAGUGGCGAAGGCGGCUCACUGGCCCGAUACUGACGCUGAGGUGCGAAAGCGUGGGGAGCAAACAGG
Molecule: ribosomal RNA, 253 nt
Filed under: uncultured bacterium
Lineage: Bacteria
Description: partial 16S ribosomal RNA
Rfam family: Bacterial small subunit ribosomal RNA
Source: RNAcentral